UGGGGAAUAUUGCACAAUGGGCGCAAGCCUGAUGCAGCCAUGCCGCGUGUAUGAAGAAGGCCUUCGGGUUGUAAAGUACUUUCAGCGGGGAGGAAGGUGUUGUGGUUAAUAACCGCAGCAAUUGACGUUACCCGCAGAAGAAGCACCGGCUAACUCCGUGCCAGAAGCCGCGGUAAUACGGAGGGUGCAAGCGUUAAUCGGAAUUACUGGGCGUAAAGCGCACGCAGGCGGUCUGUCAAGUCGGAUGUGAAAUCCCCGGGCUCAACCUGGGAACUGCAUUCGAAACUGGCAGGCUAGAGUCUUGUAGAGGGGGGUAGAAUUCCAGGUGUAGCGGUGAAAUGCGUAGAGAUCUGGAGGAAUACCGGUGGCGAAGGUGGCCCCCUGGACAAAGACUGACGCUCAGGUGCGAAAGCGUGGGGAGCAAACA
Molecule: ribosomal RNA, 427 nt
Filed under: uncultured bacterium
Lineage: Bacteria
Description: partial 16S ribosomal RNA
Rfam family: Bacterial small subunit ribosomal RNA
Source: RNAcentral